This is a long non-coding RNA of Papaver somniferum (opium poppy), 699 nucleotides long. RefSeq lists it as uncharacterized. Lineage: Eukaryota; Viridiplantae; Streptophyta; Magnoliopsida; Ranunculales; Papaveraceae. The transcript is spliced from 3 exons. The record is from RefSeq and is a predicted model, not a curated record.
CCCAUUUCUGCGCCGCUUUCUCACCUCUCUUCAUCUUCUCUUCUCUUCUCUUCGUAUUUCUGCUACUCCUCUCUCUUGAGAUUCGUUGAGGGUACUAGUUCAAGUGAAGAAAACGAAGGAGAUUUAAGGGCCUGUUGUUCCGAAAAACUGAAAUUAUUGGAGCAAUUUCGUUUUGUUUUCAAAACCAUAAAUCCACAAAAUUGGAAGGAGUUUAAGGAUGUACAAGAUAGUACACCUCCACCAAAGCUAAGUCCCGUAUACUGGUUGUCUUUUGAUUGAUUUUGAUGGGUUAAGUCCCAUUUACUGGUUGUCAUUUGAUUGAUUCUAAUUGAUUAAAUAGUGUCACUAACUUAUUUAAUUUGGUUGGAAUUUCUUGAUUUGUAGAUAACAAAAUGAAGCCUGAGGUAAAGCGCUCUGAAUCAGUUGGUAAAGUUGUGGAUUCCCUGUAAAUCUUGCAUCUCUUCACUGUGUAACUGCCGUUUUUCUGGUGAACCAGUUUGAAGCUUCUCAGCUAUGUGCUAUCCAUGCUAAGCCUGUGAUAAUUAUGCAUCUCUUAAAAAUGAUCAUUUGUUCCAGCUGACCAAGGAGGGUCAUUGUACCAUCAUAUUGUAAUGUGUUGUAUUUUUUCUCUUCUGUCUUUAUUGUAACUGAAAUAAUUAAUGAAUAAAAGAUUACUUUCUUAAUUCAUUUUUGUAUUCA